AAUCCUAAUUCUAAUAGAAUACUAACAAUACUCUAAUUAGAAUAUAAUAAUGCUAAGCAAGCUUAAUCAAAUUCAAAAAAAUCUCAAAGAAAUUUCAAACAAACAAUAGGAAUUUUUAAAGAAACAUUAGAAAGAACACAAAUGUCAUUCAAAUACAUCUCAAUUCAAUCUUAAUUUAAUUUUAGUUAAAAUCCUAUUGAACUUCAUUCAAACUUUAAGCCAAACUAAUUAAAUCUUAAAUCCUAAUAAAAUCCUAAAUUCUAAAUCAAACCCUAACCAAAACCUAAACCAAAUCCUAAAUCUAAAAUCAAACCCUAACCAAAGCCUAAAUCAUAAAUCAAAUCCUAACGAAACCCUAAAUCCUAAAUCAAAUCCUAAUCAAACUCUAAACCAAAUCCUAAUCCAAAUCCUAAAUCCUAAACCAAACCCUAAUCAAAUCCUAAGUCAAAUCCUAAUCCAAAUCCUAAACCAAACUCUAAUCCAAAUCCUAAUUCGAACCCUAAAUCCUAAACCAAAUCCUAAUCAAAUCCUAAACCCUAAAUCAAACUCUAUCUAAUUCCUAAAUCCUAAAUCAAACUCUAAUCCAAAUCCUAAAUCCUAAACCAAAUCCUAACCAAAUUCUAAACCCUAAAUCAAACCCUAAUCCAAAUCUUAGACCCCAAACCAA
Molecule: long non-coding RNA, 667 nt
Filed under: Physcomitrium patens
Lineage: Eukaryota; Viridiplantae; Streptophyta; Bryopsida; Funariales; Funariaceae
Description: long non-coding RNA (PPAT_LNC009249)
Source: RNAcentral